CAAACAAGCCCUCCCCAACGCCAUGAAUGCGGCUGAAAUUACCGACAAACUUGGCCUCCACUCUCUUCGUCAGCGACACUGGUAUAUCCAGAGCACAUGUGCCACUUCUGGAGAAGGGCUGUAUGAAGGACUUGACUGGCUCUCUAACAACAUAGCUAAUAAGUCUUAAAAACAAUAUGCUGCUGCUGCUGCUGCUGCUGAGAAAUAGGAAGAAGUUUGUUCUGACGAUUAUUGUGUUGGAUAUUAUAAGACAUUGUGGCUUAAGACUAUGAUAUUGUGAUUGUUAUGCUAACCAGACCUGUGUAUUUUUGUUGGUAAUAUUGCGGAAUUUGGUGUUUGAUAGCAUUGUUGUGUUGUCUAUUUAAUACAAUGAUUUGGCUGGAUUAUUUAGAAA
This is a long non-coding RNA of Phalaenopsis equestris, 394 nucleotides long. RefSeq lists it as uncharacterized. The transcript has 3 exons. NCBI's taxonomy places the organism in Eukaryota, Viridiplantae, Streptophyta, Magnoliopsida, Asparagales, Orchidaceae. The record is from RefSeq and is a predicted model, not a curated record.